Long non-coding RNA from Phyllostomus hastatus (greater spear-nosed bat), 3714 nucleotides. RefSeq lists it as uncharacterized. The transcript has 3 exons. The record is from RefSeq and is a predicted model, not a curated record. NCBI's taxonomy places the organism in Eukaryota, Metazoa, Chordata, Mammalia, Chiroptera, Phyllostomidae.
ACAACGCUGAUGAGAGGAGAAGAGAAAGAGGUGGUGCCUCAUUUCCCGUGGAGAAAUUUCCUGGGGAAAGCUCACGGGAGGAGACAUAUGCCCAGGCUUUGAAGAACAGGAAAAGACAGUGGUACAUCAUACAUAACAUGUGCUUUCUGGACUCGGCCCUUCCCAGGCAGCAUCACCUGAAAUGCUCAGAGCAAGCCCAGUGAGGUCCAUGCUCUUCCUGAACCUGAAGUGAAAUCUUUACAAAAUCCCUAAAAGGAUAGAAGAUGGUGAUUCCAAUGAAAGCCCUAUCUGCCAAAGAAAUGGAUGAGAGCAAUCUGAGGAGGUGUUGCAGACCUGAAGAUUAAUUCAAUGUGGCCGAAGCUAGAGAAAGAGACCCUCACCCUUUUUGCAAACAGAGGGGUGUCAGGAGGUAAUGGAUGGAAGUGCUGCAGCAAUUCUGCUGCCAUACAGGAGGAGGGCCACUGGGAGCCAUUGUGAGCCCAAUUUCAACACUGUGAACAGCAGAGAUAGAAGAAAGAGAAGCCAGGUAUUUGGUUUGAGCUCCUGGAUCAAAUCAUACCUGAAAAGAAAUGACCUCUCGAUUUUUCAUUUAGCAAAGCUAAUACUUAUUAGAAGCAAAAGUUGAGAUGUUUUGUGUCUCUUCUAAAUAAUAUAUCAGGAAAUUUCAUAUUCUAAAAUUCUUCUAUUGCACAGCACUCAGAAUAAAUAAUACAGUCCCUUAAAGCAGCCAAAUAAGUAACCAAGAUAAUUAAUCUUUUAAUGCCCAUGUUGACUUAAACGCGUGCACACACGCGCACACACACACACACACACACACACAGCAUCAGCAAGUGGGUGCAACAGGUGGCAUCUCCGUGUAAUUUUUGUUUCAAUAAAGCCACUUGGAAGCUAGGCAUGGAAAAUGCCACACAAAGGCUGCCCCCCCGCCCCCGCCUCAUUAGAACAGAGAGCAUUGCUGUCACUGUUGUUUCCACCUGAUGAAAACAACUUGGUCUGUGACAUGUUUCCAACUGUCAUGGCACCAAGUGGGCAGGAGAAAAUCAGAACAAGAAGUAACAUCUUAGCAGAAAAUAAGGCAGGAAAAGUGGGACAGAAUGAUAAUCCUCAAUCAGCCCAGAAAGUAGAAUAGAAAGCUGGGAAAAGCAUCAGUUUGGGGGCAGAUUUAAAAUAAAGCCCUUGUGGAAUUAAACCACUGAUUCUUAACCAGGGUGCAUACUGAGCCCUUGUGUGAGUCUUUAAAUUACAUCCCCCCCUUAGGCCAGUCCUAAAGCAUCUGCUUCCGUGGGACUGCAGGGAGCAGGAGCAUCAGUACAUUUUUUUUAAUCUCAAGAAUUUGGUCUGAUGUGCAUACCUAGUUAAGAAUUCCACAAUUAAGCAUCAGAAAAUUCUGUACAACUGAAAAUAUAAUUGAGAUUUUUUAAAAAGAAAAGGAACAAAGUAUCAUAAAUAGAAAUUCUUUCAAAAAAGCAAACAAACAAACAAACCCCACAACAGAGCAGCUAUAAAUCAAAAGCAUUUUGAAGGAGAGGAGUUGAGACAUGGUUAUGGGUGAAAUGUUUGUCAUUGUCAGGCUUAUGCUGGGUUUGCAGUACAGAUGGACAAGAGGACUGAAGGACACUCACACGUUUGACCCUCCUUCCCCACUUCAACACAAAAUUUCAUCCGGAAGUUUCUAGGUGUAUUUCUACUGAGAUCAGGUAGGUGACUGUCAUUACUGUUUGAAUUCAUUUUGUUCCAUUCUAUAAGGCCACAUGAUUUGUUCUUAGCUUUGAUUCAUUUAUCAAACGUUGGCCGAGGGCCUGCUACACUCCAGGCACCGGGGACAGCCCUUAAUUUUGAGCUUGCUGCCAGGUUGGAGAAAUGGUAGGAAGGCAGGUAACGACCAUGCAAUAUAAACAUAGGAAGCCAGAAUAUGCAGGGAUAGGAGGCAGGGCGUGGAAUGAUUUCACCUAAGAGAUACAGGGUUGAAAGGGCAAAUGACCUUCAUCACAAGGGCAGAGUACAGGAAUUGAGAGAAGGUGGGGGUGAGCAAGGUGAGUGCAGGCAGCAGUGGCAACUAAUGAAUAUGCAGUCAGUGCAGCAAGAAAAUGCCUCCCUCCUGAUAAGGAUGCUCAAGCCAGUGGCCCAGCAGCGUAGAACAGUCAGCUGAGCGAGCCCUCAUCUUGCAAUAUGCAAAUGUGACAUUCCACUCUCUUCUAACAGCAAAGAUCAGGAGGUGGGAUUAUUAACACCAGAUUAUCACAACACUUAGCAAUUGCCUGUCCACGCUCCCCAAGCACUGUCCCUAUGACAUUUUGGAAACGACUUGCAGCUGGGUUGGUAGGGGUUUCCAGACUCAGGACUCUUGGAUGAGGGCGCCCUCUGGUGGCCACAGUCAGGCGCCAGGAAGCCCUAGACCUAGACCUUCCUUGCCCUUGGCAUGCCCGGCAGCAAAUAGUUCUUCCCAAGACAGGAUCAGAGAACUCAUCAGGUUCAGUCACAGCCCUGCAGGGCUGCAAUUUCAAGAAGUGGCAGGAAGCACAUCCCUGAAGGCAAGUGGGGCCUUUUAAACCUUUGAAAACAAAUUCAAUAGAAAAUUGCUUUAUGCUCUGGCAGGGCCAGAAAAAGGUAGCUUUGAGGAAAGGUUUCUUUUGUCCCCCUUGGUUGGAAAAGGUCAUGUUUUCUUCUUCGCAGAUCACCUGGAUCCAGUGGUCUUAGAGGAGGACUUUUAGGAGUUUAUGGGGUGAGAGUCCGAAGUUUCAUCUUAUUCUCAAGAAGGUAUAGGAUCUCCAAAAGGGUUAAGAACACCAUGGGGUUCCACCUCCUUAAAUUCUAUAGAAGCUAUGUUCAAAUGUGAUCCCCUUGAAGUGUUAGAGGUCCCACCAAAUUUGUUAUUAGUAACCCAAAUGUCCACUGAUAGGAGAGAGGAAGUAAGAGGCUGGAUGGCCUGGUAAUUAAGUUCAAGCCUCUCCAGUACCUAGAAGACUAAAUGGGGGGCUGAGCAGAGUACAUGUUCCAGAAGGUGGUCCUGAGAAUGCAGGAGGUAGAGCAGUUAAAACAGUACUUUGUCAGUGCAGGUAAGGAGCUGGUGUAGUACAGCAGCUCGGCUGUAAAACAGAACUGCAGCCAAUUAAAAGAGCGAGGUAGAUCUAUACAUGGAAGACUUGGAAAGAUGGCCGAGUAGGUCACUGAAUGAAAAAAGCAAACUGCAGAUCAAGAUGCACAGUAUCAUUCCAUUUGUGGAACAAUACAAACCCAAAUGUGUACAUACUAUGGAUAAAAAGCUUUGUUGUUGUUUUUCUAGUCUGAAAAUGUAAAAAUGCAUUCUUAGUAAUGAUUUUACUUCUAGGAAAUAAGUUUGGAAGGGGUCCUUUCUCUUCUAUUUUAUUUAUAUGCAGUUUAUAUUGUUUGAUUUUAAGGCAAGCAUUACUUUUGGAAGGAAAAAAAGCAAGAAAAAACAUACUGUCUUAUAUGGCAGAUUGCUAAUAGGUAGCCAUAAAGUAAGGCAAAUGAUCCCAGUUUCCUGUUAAUCAACAAGCAGUCUACAGGGAGAUUUACCUGUCACUGUAAACGCACUUUAGCAUGUUGGAGUAUUUUACAAUGCACAUACAUGCAAUAUUUAUUACAAAAAAGUUUUGAUUUUUUAAAAUAGGGUAAUUUAAUUUUGUAUUUAAUCUAAGAAAAAUUGCUGAUUGCCAGACACUGUGCUAAACUCUGAAGAUAUAGAAAAGACUA